This 434-nucleotide ribosomal RNA is filed under the name uncultured bacterium. RNAcentral describes it as "partial 16S ribosomal RNA". It matches the Rfam family "Bacterial small subunit ribosomal RNA", at positions 29 to 507 of the family's 1533-position model. The record is from RNAcentral.
AGCGAACGCUGGCGGCAGGCCUAACACAUGCAAGUCGAACGAACCUUUCGGGGUUAGUGGCGGACGGGUGAGUAACACGUGGGAACGUGCCUUUAGGUUCGGAAUAACUCAGGGAAACUUGUGCUAAUACCGAAUGUGCCCUUCGGGGGAAAGAUUUAUCGCCUUUAGAGCGGCCCGCGUCUGAUUAGCUAGUUGGUUGAGGUAAUGGCUUACCAAGGCGACGAUCAGUAGCUGGUCUGAGAGGAUGAUCAGCCACAUUGGGACUGAGACACGGCCCAAACUCCUACGGGAGGCAGCAGUGGGGAAUCUUGCGCAAUGGGCGAAAGCCUGACGCAGCCAUGCCGCGUGAAUGAUGAAGGUCUUAGGAUUGUAAAAUUCUUUCACCGGGGGCGAUAAUGACGGUACCCGGAGAAGAAGCCCCGGCUAACUUCGUG